GACGAACGCUGGCGGCGUGCUUAACACAUGCAAGUCGAACGGAAAGGCCCUGCGUUUGUGGGGUGCUCGAGUGGCGAACGGGUGAGUAACACGUGAGUAACCUGCCCUUGACUUUGGGAUAACUUCAGGAAACUGGGGCUAAUACCGGAUAGGAUCUCCUGCUGCAUGGUGUGGGUUGGAAAGUUUCGGCGGUUGGGGAUGGACUCGCGGCUUAUCAGCUUGUUGGUGGGGUAGUGGCUUACCAAGGCUUUGACGGGUAGCCGGCCUGAGAGGGUGACCGGCGACAUGGGGACUAAGAUACGGCCCAGACUCGAACGGGAGGCAGCAGUGGGGAAUAUUGCGGAGUGAGCGGAAGCCUGAGGCAGCAACGCCGCGUGCGGGAUGACGGCCUUCGGGUUGUGAACCGCUUUCGCCUGUGACGAAGCGUGAGUGACGGUAAUGGGUCAAGAAGCACCGGCUAACUACGUG
Molecule: ribosomal RNA, 468 nt
Filed under: uncultured bacterium
Lineage: Bacteria
Description: partial 16S ribosomal RNA
Rfam family: Bacterial small subunit ribosomal RNA
Source: RNAcentral